RNAcentral lists this long non-coding RNA (487 nucleotides) under Pan troglodytes (chimpanzee). Its description in RNAcentral is "lincRNA". The record is from RNAcentral. Lineage: Eukaryota; Metazoa; Chordata; Mammalia; Primates; Hominidae.
AUUCAAAGCCCAGCUGCAUAUUGCAUAACACCUUGAAUUAGAAAAUCCACGACCCACAAAAGGCUUACCUACUUUGUGCGGUUUAAAUAAAGCAGAGUGCUGCUCCUCUUUAAAGAACUGCUUUACAGUUAUCUUCCUGUCAGAAUUCCAAUUAUUCUAUGACUCAGUGGGAAGUGAGCAGCGUCUCUGCCUGGCCGCCCGUCGUCUGGGAGGUGAGGAGUGCCUCUGCCCGGCCGCCACCCUGUCUAGGAAGUGAGCAGCAUCUCUGCCUGGCCGCCCAUCCUCUGGGAUGUGAGAAGCGCCUCUGCCCGGCCGCCCCGUCUGGGAGGAAGUGAGGAGCGCCUCUGCCCGGCUGCCCCGAAUGGGAAGUGAGGAGCGCCUCUGCCUGGCCACCCCCUCUGGGAAGUGAGGAGCGCCUCUGCCCGGCUGCCCCAUCUGGGAGGAAGUGAGGAGUGCCUCUGCCCGGUUGCCCCGAAUGGGAAGUGAG